RNAcentral lists this ribosomal RNA (253 nucleotides) under uncultured bacterium. Its description in RNAcentral is "partial 16S ribosomal RNA". It matches the Rfam family "Bacterial small subunit ribosomal RNA", at positions 524 to 776 of the family's 1533-position model. The record is from RNAcentral.
UACGUAGGGGGCAAGCGUUGUCCGGAAUCAUUGGGCGUAAAGAGCGUGUAGGCGGUCCGGUAAGUCCGCUGUAAAAGUCAAGGGCUCAACCCUUGAAAGCCGGUGGAUACUGCCGGGCUAGAGUCCGGAAGAGGCGAGUGGAACUCCUGGUGUAGCGGUGAAAUGCGCAGAUAUCAGGAAGAACACCUACGGCGAAGGCAGCUCGCUGGGACGGUACUGACGCUGAGACGCGAAAGCGUGGGGAGCGAACAGG